GUGAAAAGAAUGGUCUUUAAUGUUUUGGCAAAGUCUUUCUCAGCCCGGAGUAAACAUGAAAUGAGUGGGCUGGAGUGAAAUUGUUUCACAGUGUACAAAGCGGUUCACAUGGAUGCUGCCACAGCAAAGUAAGCGGACAUGGAUUUGAGGUCAUUUGCAUGAGUCAAACUUUGCAAUGAGUAACUCACCUAGGAAGAUAUAAAUUAUUUAGAUAAUGAUUUGCAAAGGAAAUGAUCUACUGAAGUUGUACCAGCUACAUUUUAAAAAAGUAGUUCUACAUGGUUUGCUCAUUAUAGACAAAUCUAUUCACAGUAUGUGCGACUAUAUUACAUGUAAAUUCAUAUGGCAAAAGAAAAUGAAUUAACACAGAACAUGGGAAAAUAUCCCCCACAUGUUUUAAAAUGCCCUGCAAUUUUUCACAUUCAAAAUUUUAUGCAUCUAAGUCUAAAAAAAUAUUAUAUGGAAUACUCUUAAGUUACACAAACUGAUAAUAAUUUACUGUAUUUUUUACUCUAAUAGGAGCAAAUUACCACAUACUUGAACAAAGUUAAAAUAGUUACUAUUUCUUUAUAAUAAAUUUGAUGUAUAAUUUACUUUACUUGUGCUUUUUGCACCAAUUUAUAAAUACAGUAUAUGCAAUACACAACCAAGACAGACACCAACAUUAAUAAUUAAAUUCAAAAUAGCAAAUACUUACCAUAUAAAAUAAACAGCAAAUACAUCUCUUAUGAAAA
RNAcentral lists this long non-coding RNA (734 nucleotides) under Bos taurus (domestic cattle). RNAcentral describes it as "long non-coding RNA NONBTAT001302". Lineage: Eukaryota; Metazoa; Chordata; Mammalia; Artiodactyla; Bovidae. The record is from RNAcentral.